UGGGGAAUAUUGCACAAUGGAGGGAACUCUGAUGCAGCGACGCCGCGUGAACGAAGAAGGCUUUCGAGUCGUAAAGUUCUUUUAUAUACAAAAGAGACGGUACCUAACCAGAAAGCCACGGCUAACUACGUGCCAGCAGCCGCGGUAAUACGUAGGUGGCAAGCGUUGUCCGGAAUUAUUGGGCGUAAAGCGCGCGCAGGUGGUUUAGAAAGUCUGAUGUGAAAGCCCACGGCUCAACCGUGGAGGGUCAUUGGAAACUAAUAAACUUGAGUGCAGGAGAGAAAAGUGGAAUUCCUAGUGUAGCGGUGAAAUGCGUAGAGAUUAGGAGGAACACCGGUGGCGAAAGCGGCUUUUUGGCCUGCAACUGACACUGAGGCGCGAAAGCGUGGGGAGCAAACAGG
This 401-nucleotide ribosomal RNA is filed under the name Verrucomicrobiota bacterium. RNAcentral describes it as "Verrucomicrobia bacterium partial 16S ribosomal RNA". It matches the Rfam family "Bacterial small subunit ribosomal RNA", at positions 355 to 776 of the family's 1533-position model. Lineage: Bacteria; Pseudomonadati; Verrucomicrobiota. The record is from RNAcentral.